RNAcentral lists this ribosomal RNA (292 nucleotides) under uncultured bacterium. RNAcentral's name for it is "partial 16S ribosomal RNA". It matches the Rfam family "Bacterial small subunit ribosomal RNA", at positions 505 to 796 of the family's 1533-position model. The record is from RNAcentral.
GUGCCAGCAGCCGCGGUAAUACGUAGGCAGCGAGCGUUGUUCGGAAUUACUGGGCGUAAAGAGUGCGUAGGUGGUUGACUAAGUUUGGUGUGAAAUCUCCCGGCUUAACUGGGAGGGUGCGCCGAAAACUGGUUGGCUAGAGUGUGGGAGAGGGACGUGGAAUUCCUGGUGUAGCGGUGAAAUGCGUAGAUAUCAGGAGGAACACCUGAGGUGUAGACGGCGUCCUGGACCAUUACUGACACUGAGGCACGAAAGCGUGGGUAGCAAACAGGAUUAGAAACCCCGGUAGUCC